This 24-nucleotide non-coding RNA is filed under the name Arabidopsis thaliana (thale cress). The record is from RNAcentral. Lineage: Eukaryota; Viridiplantae; Streptophyta; Magnoliopsida; Brassicales; Brassicaceae.
AGUAGAGUUUGCUUAUAAGACUGG